GGGGAAUAUUGCACAAUGGGGGAAACCCUGAUGCAGCGACGCCGCGUGAGUGAAGAAGUAUUUCGGUAUGUAAAGCUCUAUCAGCAGGGAAGAUAAUGACAGUACCUGACUAAGAAGCCCCGGCUAACUACGUGCCAGCAGCCGCGGUAAUACGUAGGGGGCAAGCGUUAUCCGGAUUUACUGGGUGUAAAGGGAGCGUAGACGGAGUGGCAAGUCUGAAGUGAAAACCCUGGGCUUAACCUGGGGACUGCUUUGGAAACUGUUAAUCUAGAGUGUUGGAGAGGUAAGUGGAAUUCCUGGUGUAGCGGUGAAAUGCGUAGAUAUCAGGAAGAACACCGGAGGCGAAGGCGGCUUACUGGACAAUAACUGACGUUGAGGCUCGAAAGCGUGGGGAUCAAACAGGAUUAGAUACCCUGGUAGUCCACGCUGUAAACGAUGAAUACUAGGUGUCGGGGUGCAAAGCAUCUCGGUGCCGUCGCUAACGCAAUAAGUAUUCCACCUGGGGAGUACGUUCGCAAGAAUG
RNAcentral lists this ribosomal RNA (523 nucleotides) under uncultured bacterium. RNAcentral describes it as "bacterial SSU rRNA". It matches the Rfam family "Bacterial small subunit ribosomal RNA", at positions 356 to 896 of the family's 1533-position model. The record is from RNAcentral.